AACGAACGCUGGCGGCGUGCUUAAGACAUGCAAGUCGUGCGAGAAAGCUUCCUUCGGGAAGUGAGUACAGCGGCGCACGGGUGAGUAACGCGUGGGUAAUCUGCCCUUUGGUCUGGGAUAACUCUGGAAACCGGGGCGUAAUACCGGAUAAGACCACGAGGUCUUCGGACUUUGCGGAAAAAGGUGGCCUCUCCUUGGAAGCUAGUGCCAGAGGAUGAGCCCGCGUUCCAUUAGCUUGUUGGUGAGGUAACGGCUCACCAAGGCGACGAUGGAUAGCUGGUCUGAGAGGAUGAUCAGCCACACUGGGACUGAGACACGGCCCAGACUCCUACGGGAGGCAGCAGUCGGGAAUUUUGGGCAAUGGGCGAAAGCCUGACCCAGCAACGCCGCGUGAAGGAUGAAGGCCUUCGGGUCGUAAACUUCUGUCGGAAGGGAAGAAGGGUUUCAUUUCAAAUAGGCUUGGAAUCUGACGGUACCUUCAAAGGAAGCGCCGGCUAACUCCGUG
RNAcentral lists this ribosomal RNA (505 nucleotides) under uncultured bacterium. RNAcentral's name for it is "bacterial SSU rRNA". It matches the Rfam family "Bacterial small subunit ribosomal RNA", at positions 29 to 507 of the family's 1533-position model. The record is from RNAcentral.